Molecule: transfer RNA, 70 nt
Filed under: Loxodonta africana (African savanna elephant)
Lineage: Eukaryota; Metazoa; Chordata; Mammalia; Proboscidea; Elephantidae
Rfam family: tRNA
About the family: Transfer RNA (tRNA) molecules are approximately 80 nucleotides in length.
Source: Rfam by way of RNAcentral
GCAGUGGUGGUUCAGUGGUAGAAUUCUCGCCUUCCAUGAGGAGACCUGGGUUUGAUUCCCGGCCAAUCCA